RNAcentral lists this long non-coding RNA (534 nucleotides) under Marmota monax (woodchuck). The record is from RNAcentral. Lineage: Eukaryota; Metazoa; Chordata; Mammalia; Rodentia; Sciuridae.
UUUUUUUACCCGGGAAUGUCUCAGGCUCCAACUCUGGAAGGUGUUGAAAGCGGGAAGCAGCAAAAAAUGUGUUGUACGUUGGUGCCUUGUGGACGGGCUGGAGGGGUGCCUUGUCCUGAGUGACUCUCCCACCCAUGGUGUAGACUUUGUUGGCCACAGAAGGGCGCUCGACGCUUGCUGCGGCAGGCGCCAUCCUGAGUGACAGCUGGGCUGGCUGCCGAGUGUAAUCGGAGGGAGGGGCUGUCUCCUGAGUGACUGACAAUGCUCAGAUCCCGCCCACUCAGGCACCAUCUUUUCUGGCCACCUGGGGGCGUGUGACAUUUGCUAUGCGGGUACCAUCUUCAUUGACAGCUGAGUUGGCUACAGGGGAUGGGCACAAGAGGGGGACCGUCUUCUGGGUUACUGAGAGGGGCAGCAAGGCCCCGCCCACCCUGGCGAAGUCUUCGCUGGCCACAGGGGAGCGCCCGAUGUUUCCUGUUCGGGCUCCAUCGUCACCGACUGUAGACUGGCUGCAGAGGGUGGGCCCAAGGGAGG